GAAGCGGCAACAGCUCAAAUUUGAAAUCUGGCGCAAGCCCGAGUUGUAAUUUGUAGAGGAUGCUUCUGGGCAGCGGCCGGUCUAAGUUCCUUGGAACAGGACGUCACAGAGGGUGAGAAUCCCGUACGUGACCGGCGCGCACCCUCCACGUAGCUCCUUCGACGAGUCGAGUUGUUUGGGAAUGCAGCUCUAAAUGGGAGGUAAAUUUCUUCUAAAGCUAAAUACCGGCCAGAGACCGAUAGCGCACAAGUAGAGUGAUCGAAAGAUGAAAAGCACUUUGGAAAGAGAGUUAAAAAGCACGUGAAAUUGUUGAAAGGGAAGCGCUUGCAACCAGACUCCGCGGCGGUGUUCCGCCGGUCUUCUGACCGGUCCACUCGCCGCCGCGGGGCCAACAUCGUCUGGGGCCGCCGGAUAAGACCGCAGGAAUGUGGCUCCCUCGGGAGUGUUAUAGCCUGCGGUGAUGCGGCGCGCCUCGGGCGAGGUCCGCGCUUCGGCAAGGAUGUUGGCGUAAUGGUUGCCAGCGGCCCGUCUUGAAACACGGACCAAGGAGUCUAACAUCUAUGCGAGUGUUCGGGUGUCAAACCCCUACGCGUAAUGAAAGUGAACGGAGGUGGGAGCUUCGGCGCACCAUCGACCGAUCCUGAUGUCCUCGGAUGGAUUUGAGUAAGAGCAUAGCUGUUGGGACCCGAAAGAUGGUGAACUAUGCCUGAAUAGGGUGAAGCCAGAGGAAACUCUGGUGGA
Molecule: ribosomal RNA, 741 nt
Filed under: Mycosphaerelloides madeirae
Lineage: Eukaryota; Fungi; Ascomycota; Dothideomycetes; Mycosphaerellales; Mycosphaerellaceae
Description: eukaryotic LSU rRNA
Rfam family: Eukaryotic large subunit ribosomal RNA
Source: RNAcentral